This is a long non-coding RNA of Bos taurus (domestic cattle), 2339 nucleotides long. NCBI's taxonomy places the organism in Eukaryota, Metazoa, Chordata, Mammalia, Artiodactyla, Bovidae. The record is from Ensembl.
UAGUUAUCAGACUAGAUGAUCACUUAAGAGUGAUUCCAAACCAAUUUAGAAAUUAGUGUAUUAUGACAGAAUCUAUAUCAAAUUAUCCCUUAUUUUAAAAAGAAUAAGUGAAUGGUUUGCUUUUGUACUAAUUUAAACAAACCAGGCUAAGUUUAACUUAGCUAAAAUCUGGAUGUGUAAAUAAAGCUUCCCUGUCCACCAAGAUAAGAAAUUGUUCUAAAGAAGACUAAUUAGGCUCAUGGGUAAUUCCUGAACAUAAAAUGCUAAAGUUACUCUGGAUCUGGAAGAUUAAUUUCUUUUAUCAGAUGACUUUUCUUCCUCCAAAUAAAAAUGUUACCUACAAUCAUUCACCCUACCUCAUCAUCCCCCCAAAUUUUUGAAUAAUGCCUGAGAAAUUUAAAAAGAAAAAAAAAAGGACAAACUUGGAUAUAAUAUCACUAGUGAAAAUAAAAUUAUUCACUCUGUGGUCCCAAAAUAUGAGUUUAAGCCAUUUAAGAACCAAGAUUUCCAGAGCUUUGUUUCCUAGUAUAUUCCUGUUCCUUGCACUGUGUUAAAUGACUAAAUCCUAAAAUUUAUUUGCACUGAUAUUUACAUAGAAGGAAUUGAAAGGUAAAAUCCUAUGUAAUAGUAAAUUACUUACUAUUAAUGGAAAUUUCAAGGUAAUAGAAAAAUUACUUAUAUUGGAUAUGUAAAUAUUUCUUUUUUAAAAAUCAUAUCAGACGUACCUGUUUAAGUUUGUUGACUCAUUUUCAAGUUAAAUAAAAAACACAGAACUUAGUCUGGUAUAUCAGAAAACUGAAUUAUAAUAAAGGAAGACCUAGAUUUAUUCUUUGUCCCUGACAGUCAGUGGAAUGAAAAGAGAGGAAAACUAUUGUGGAUAUUCAACUCAGUAUGCCACAACUGAGACCUGGCCCAGCUAAAUAAAUAAAUAACUGUCUUUAAAAAAAAGCCAGGAUAAAUGCGCAUGCAUAGCUGAUUCCCUUUGCUAUACAGCAGAAACUAACACGAUACUGUAAAGCAGCUCCACCUAACUUUAGGUGUCCAGAAACAGGAUGGGCUGAAGCAGUUCUGUUCUGAGUUGAAUUGUUACUGGGUGGCUCACUGUGGGGCUUCUCAGGUGGCCCUGGUGAUAAAGAACCUGCCUGCCAAUGCAGGAGAUGGGGAUUCCAUCCCCUGGGUCAGGAAGAUCCCUGGAGGAGGGCAUGGCAACCCACUCUAGUAUUCUUGCCUGGAGAAUCCCAUGGACAGAGGAGCCUGGCGGGCUACAAUCCCUGGUGUCACAAAGAGUCGUACACGUCUGAGACAACUUGGCACGCACGCUUCACUGUGGCCCUGGAUCAUCUUUUCCAAGAGAAAACUGAGAAAUUCUGGUACUAAAUUGUGUCCUUGAAUUUCCUAAGAUCCUAAUAAGGCCUGUGAUUUCUCAGAAACCAUAGAAAGCCUCUGAAAGACCUGACUCUCAAAGUGGUCUGGACCCACAACAACCCAGAGCCAGAAAGAGCACCGACCCCUAACCGCCAUACUGGCGGAGACUACAAGUCCUGGGCAGGUGGAGGGCAAAUCCGAGCCUCAUCACUACAUUCUCAGUGUGAUUCAGUUCAGCUCUUGGUGCCCUGGCCUGCUCUCAGCAGUGCACUUUCAGAGACAGAUUGCCCUCAUGCUAAUGUAAUGUCAGCUCUGCUUUGAACCAAGGAAAAAUGAACAUCUUCAAGUUCAGAACUUGAUGACUUUGAAAGGCAGGGGAAGACAGUUAGUUCACAUUUAAGCAGAGGUUUGUUUACUUCCCUUGGUUUAGUUGCUCAGUCAUUCCUGACUCUUUGGGACCCCAAGGACUGUAGCCUGCCAGGCUCCUCUGUCCAUGGGAUUCUCGAGGCAAGAAUACUGGAGUGGGUUGCCAUUUCCUUCUCCAUUACUUCCCUUAGUCAAAUCUAAUAUUUUAAGCCAAAAAUAAUGGUUUUCUGAAUUUGAGAAGCGCCCCUACUUGAAUUAUUCACAGAGAAACAGUCUUUGUAGACAUUUAUUAUAUGUGGACUUGCCAUGCCUGCUCAGGAUGGCCAUCUUCUGCCUUUAUCAGACAUGACUCUGCUGGAAUUCCUCUUUGAUUGCACUUUUAAAACAUAUCUAUAAUCAUUAUACUAACAGCAUUAUCAUUGACUUUCUUUUUAAAUUUACAAAGCGUUUGAUCACCUGAAAUACACAUUAUGGAAAUAAAUGUCAUUUUAGCAAUUCACAGAAGCUACAGUCUUGUGUAUACAUGGAACAAGGCCAUGUAUUGGGCAUUAAUUUUUAUUUCAGAAUAAUUACUUUUUUCCUGGUAACUUUUGUGACUUUUAUUUGUA